This 431-nucleotide ribosomal RNA is filed under the name uncultured bacterium. RNAcentral's name for it is "partial 16S ribosomal RNA". It matches the Rfam family "Bacterial small subunit ribosomal RNA", at positions 29 to 505 of the family's 1533-position model. The record is from RNAcentral.
AACGAACGCUGGCGGCAUGCCUAACACAUGCAAGUCGAACGAGACCUUCGGGUCUAGUGGCGCACGGGUGCGUAACGCGUGGGAACCUGCCCUUAGGUUCGGAAUAACUCCCCGAAAGGGGUGCUAAUACCGGAUAAUGUCUUCGGACCAAAGAUUUAUCGCCUUUGGAUGGGCCCGCGUUGGAUUAGCUAGUUGGUAGGGUAAAAGCCUACCAAGGCGACGAUCCAUAGCUGGUCUGAGAGGAUGAUCAGCCACACUGGGACUGAGACACGGCCCAGACUCCUACGGGAGGCAGCAGUGGGGAAUAUUGGACAAUGGGCGAAAGCCUGAUCCAGCAAUGCCGCGUGAGGGAUGAAGGCCUUAGGGUUGUAAAGCUCUUUUACCCGGGAUGAUAAUGACAGUACCGGGAGAAUAAGCUCCGGCUAACGCCG